RNAcentral lists this ribosomal RNA (459 nucleotides) under Burkholderiales bacterium oral taxon A57. RNAcentral describes it as "bacterial SSU rRNA". It matches the Rfam family "Bacterial small subunit ribosomal RNA", at positions 30 to 492 of the family's 1533-position model. The record is from RNAcentral. Lineage: Bacteria; Pseudomonadati; Pseudomonadota; Betaproteobacteria; Burkholderiales.
AUUGAACGCUGGCGGCAUGCCUUACACAUGCAAGUCGAACGGUAACAGGUUAAGCUGACGAGUGGCGAACGGGUGAGUAAUAUAUCGGAACGUGCCCAGUCGUGGGGGAUAACUGCUCGAAAGAGCAGCUAAUACCGCAUACGACCUGAGGGUGAAAGCGGGGGAUCGCAAGACCUCGCGCGAUUGGAGCGGCCGAUAUCAGAUUAGGUAGUUGGUGGGGUAAAGGCCCACCAAGCCAACGAUCUGUAGCUGGUCUGAGAGGACGACCAGCCACACUGGGACUGAGACACGGCCCAGACUCCUACGGGAGGCAGCAGUGGGGAAUUUUGGACAAUGGGCGCAAGCCUGAUCCAGCCAUGCCGCGUGCGGGAAGAAGGCCUUCGGGUUGUAAACCGCUUUUGUCAGGGAAGAAAAGGUUCUGGUUAAUACCUGGGACUCAGGACGUACCUGAAGAUAGCC